AAUUUUCCGCAAUGGACGAAAGUCUGACGGAGCGACGCCGCGUGGGGGAAGAAGGCCUUCGGGUUGUAAACCUCUGUCCUCAGGGACGAAGAGGGUGCCGAAAGUCACCGAAGACGGUACCUGAGGAGGAAGCCCCGGCUAACUACGUGCCAGCAGCCGCGGUAAUACGUAGGGGGCGAGCGUUGUCCGGAAUUACUGGGCGUAAAGGGCGUGUAGGCGGCGUUUUAAGUUAGGCGUGAAAGACCCCGGCUUAACCGGGGGGUUGCGUCUAAAACUGGAGUGCUUGAGUGCAGGAGAGGAAAGCGGAAUUCCCGGUGUAGCGGUGAUAUGCGUAGAUAUCGGGAGGAACACCAGUGGCGAAGGCGGCUUUCUGGCCUGCAACUGACGCUGAGGCGCGAAAGCUGGGGGAGCAAAC
Molecule: ribosomal RNA, 415 nt
Filed under: uncultured bacterium
Lineage: Bacteria
Description: partial 16S ribosomal RNA
Rfam family: Bacterial small subunit ribosomal RNA
Source: RNAcentral